Molecule: long non-coding RNA, 296 nt
Filed under: Panax ginseng (ginseng)
Lineage: Eukaryota; Viridiplantae; Streptophyta; Magnoliopsida; Apiales; Araliaceae
Description: long non-coding RNA (PGIN_LNC006928)
Source: RNAcentral
CACUAAAGCCAAUCGCCAUGGUAUCUCAUACCCUUCUUCUCUAAGUGACGAUUAUCCUGCUGUUGGAUAAGCUUUAGUAAAUGGAUAUGUAAUAUUGUUCUUGAGAGUCCACUAUCUCUAUAGUGAUUUCCCAUCUUUCAAUGAUUCCUAUAAUCAAUUGAAAGUGCCACAACACAUGUUUAGAUUCAAGAUGAGACUUAGGAACUAUUCCUAGUUCUGUAAUGAACUUUUUAUCCAAACAAUCAACUUGCAGCUUCAUUGCAGCUAUAUACUUUGUCUUUAUCACUAAACCAGCA